This 408-nucleotide ribosomal RNA is filed under the name uncultured bacterium. Its description in RNAcentral is "partial 16S ribosomal RNA". It matches the Rfam family "Bacterial small subunit ribosomal RNA", at positions 28 to 526 of the family's 1533-position model. The record is from RNAcentral.
GACGAACGCUGGCGGCGUGCUUAACACAUGCAAGUCGAACGAAGUGGCGAACGGGUGAGUAACGCGUAAUCAACCUGCCCUUCAGAGGGGGACAACAGUUGGAAACGACUGCUAAUACCGCAUACUGAAGGAGGGGAUUGCGUCGGAUUAGCUAGUUGGCGGGGGAACGGCCCACCAAGGCGAUGAUCAGUAGCCGGGUUGAGGAGAUGAACGGCCACAUUUGGACUGUUGCACGGCCCAGGCUCCUACGGGAGGCAGCCGUGGGGAAUCUUCCGCAAGUGACGAAAGUCUGACGGAGCAACGCCGCGUGAGGGAUGACGGCCUUCGGGUUGUAAAGCUCUGUUAAUCGGGACGCGGUACCGGAAUAGAAAGCCACGGCUAACUACGUGCCAGCAGCCGCGGUAAUAC